This 86-nucleotide transfer RNA is filed under the name Felis catus (domestic cat). It matches the Rfam family "tRNA". Rfam says of the family: Transfer RNA (tRNA) molecules are approximately 80 nucleotides in length. Their secondary structure includes four short double-helical elements and three loops (D, anti-codon, and T loops). The record is from Rfam by way of RNAcentral. Lineage: Eukaryota; Metazoa; Chordata; Mammalia; Carnivora; Felidae.
GCCUGGGUGGCUCAGUUGGUAAAGUACCUGACUUCGACUCAGGUCAUGAUCUCCUGGUACGUGGGUUUGAGCCCCAUGUCCAUGCA